RNAcentral lists this ribosomal RNA (460 nucleotides) under uncultured bacterium. Its description in RNAcentral is "partial 16S ribosomal RNA". It matches the Rfam family "Bacterial small subunit ribosomal RNA", at positions 338 to 795 of the family's 1533-position model. The record is from RNAcentral.
CCUACGGGAGACUGCAGUGAGGAAUAUUGGUCAAUGGACGAGAGUCUGAACCAGCCAAGUAGCGUGAAGGAUGACUGCCCUAUGGGUUGUAAACUUCUUUUAUAUGGGAAUAAAAUGUUCCACGUGUGGGAUUUUGUAUGUACCAUAUGAAUAAGGAUCGGCUAACUCCGUGCCAGCAGCCGCGGUAAUACGGAGGAUCCGAGCGUUAUCCGGAUUUAUUGGGUUUAAAGGGAGCGUAGGUGGAUUUGUAAGUCAGUUGUGAAAGUUUGCGGCUCAACCGUAAAAUUGCAGUUGAAACUGGCAGUCUUGAGUACAGUAGAGGUGGGCGGAAUUCGUGGUGUAGCGGUGAAAUGCUUAGAUAUCACGAAGAACUCCGAUUGCGAAGGCAGUUCACUGGACUGCAACUGACACUGAGGCUCGAAAGUGUGGGUAUCAAACAGGAUUAGAUACCCUUGUAGUC